AAAUUUCUCUGAAUAUAAUCUGUCAGAAAAAUAUACAAAGCCCUUUUCUACUGUUUUGGCGUAUAUACACCAACUCAAUAUGGUCUCUCAUGUAAAAUACCGAAAUUCAAAAUUUCCGCGAAUCGAAAAAAAUCUAAAUAUUCUCUAAGCACCCCAAUGUUAAAAGCAAAAUUGCUCUGAAUAGAAUCUGUCAGAAAAAAUAUACAAGCCAUUUUCUACUUUGUUUUGGAGUAUAUACACCCACACAAUAUGCUCUCUCAUGUAAAAUACCGAAAUUCUAAAUUUACGUGCAUCGAAGAAAAUCUAAAUAUUAUCUAGGAAUUCCAAUGUUAAAAGCAAAAUUGCUCUGAAUGUAAUCUGUCAGAGAAAAUAUACAAUGCUUUUUUCUACUCUGUUUUGGAGUAUAUACACCAACGCCAUAUGCUC
Molecule: long non-coding RNA, 426 nt
Filed under: Callithrix jacchus (white-tufted-ear marmoset)
Lineage: Eukaryota; Metazoa; Chordata; Mammalia; Primates; Cebidae
Description: lncRNA (ENSCJAG00000084926.1)
Source: RNAcentral